Molecule: long non-coding RNA, 982 nt
Organism: Betta splendens (Siamese fighting fish)
Lineage: Eukaryota; Metazoa; Chordata; Actinopteri; Anabantiformes; Osphronemidae
Exons: 2
Source: RefSeq, a predicted model, not a curated record
UCUAAAUAUGUUAGUUGGGUCUGUUUAAAAUGCAGUAACCCACAUGUGAGACAAGCUAAUCGCUAGCGUCGCUAACGGCUACAGUGAGUCAACCGAGCCUUUGUCCCUUUCAAAUGUGCUACUCUGAGUUGGUGCAACCACACACCUGUGUGGGGAACAGCUAAUAGCGAUGGGCCUUCGAUCGGCGACAGGCAGGAAGCGGUGGAUCGAGCUUUUGUCCUGUUGACGUGCUGCCGCUCCUGUUUGUGUGUUGCGUUAGCCGUUAGCAUGUCUUUAGGCCUUUGCACUUUAGAGCGACAGCUGGUCGAUCGCUACAAAAAGAACCUGCAGAUGAACGCGGUUAUGUUUAUUACCCCGUCCUGUCCAGCCUAAAUCAACUUGUGAUUUGGGGUUAUGUCAUUGUUCUAUCAAAUUCUAACAUGAUUAGUUGGAAUGAUUACUGUGUUGUGUUUCAAGCUUAGUUGCUAAUUAGUCACAUCUCUACAAUACCUGCUGCUUAUCUGGUCAGUUACCGAUAGCUUGUACCAUAGCCAUUAUAUUUGUAGGACCAAUACAAUUUACAGUAAAUGUAACAGUCUUUUCUAUACUGUAGGAGGGCAAAUCCCAGUUGCCCACAUGCAAGGAGGCUGUCAAACAGAGAAAUCACUGCAGACUGUUGGUACACAGACAUCUGCUGCCCAGCUCAGGAGUGAAGGUGAUGGUGAGGACAGCCACAGCUUCCAUCUGGUAGAGGACUGCUUCCGCUCAGUCUUCCAAAUAGUGAUGAGAACAAGGAUCACCACAUCUCCCUGUUUACCCUACUUUCAUGCAUUUCGUCUGCAAGGCCCUGCAAAAGCUUCUCCUUCGUCCUCAAACCCCCAGACUUCUUAAUUAACUCAGUAACCUAUACAUUGCACAUUGGAGUGUGAAGGUAACAGUUUGUUCUAGCUUUGGAGUAGUGGUGUAUUUUUUUGGUUUACAAUAAAGUUGGCUUUAACUAUUA